This 213-nucleotide ribosomal RNA is filed under the name uncultured bacterium. Its description in RNAcentral is "partial 16S ribosomal RNA". It matches the Rfam family "Bacterial small subunit ribosomal RNA", at positions 122 to 334 of the family's 1533-position model. The record is from RNAcentral.
AAACUUGCCUCACAGAUAGGGACAACAUUUGGAAACGAAUGCUAAUACCUGAUAUUAUGAUUAUAUGGCAUCGUAUAAUUAUGAAAGCUAUAUGCGCUGUGAGAGAGCUUUGCGUCCCAUUAGCUAGUUGGAGAGGUAACGGCUCACCAAGGCGAUGAUGGGUAGCCGGCCUGAGAGGGUGAUCGGCCACAAGGGGACUGAGACACGGCCCUU